Molecule: ribosomal RNA, 301 nt
Filed under: uncultured bacterium
Lineage: Bacteria
Description: partial 16S ribosomal RNA
Rfam family: Bacterial small subunit ribosomal RNA
Source: RNAcentral
CAGCCGCCGCGGUAAUACGAAGGGGGCUAGCGUUGUUCGGAAUUACUGGGCGUAAAGCGCACGUAGGCGGAUAUUUAAGUCAGGGGUGAAAUCCCGCAGCUCAACUGCGGAACUGCCUUUGAUACUGGGUAUCUUGAGUAUGGAAGAGGUUAGUGGAAUUGCGAGUGUAGAGGUGAAAUUCGUAGAUAUUCGCAGGAACACCAGUGGCGAAGGCGGCUAACUGGUCCAUAACUGACGCUGAGGCGCGAAAGCUAGGGGAGCAAACAGGAUUAGAUACCCGGGUAGUCCCUGUCUCUUAUAC